CUCUCUCUCUCUCUCUCUCUUCUCCUCUGCUCAAAUCUCAAAGCAAUCCCUCUCUCUCUCUCUCUCUCUCUCUCUCUUAAUCCGUGCGGGCGAGCGCGAGUUUGUUUGUUCGCUCAUCUCUCCCUCUCUCUCUCUCUCUCUCUGCAAAUGGCGCUACUCAGGAGGCAGCACCGCUGGUUCUAGAGAGAGAAAGAGUGUGGACUUUUUGAGUGUGAAUUUCUCUCUCUAUAUCACUCCUCUGUAAGCGUGAAGAGGGGAGAGGCGCAGGGGGGCGUGGUGUUGUGGAGAUCGCUGGCAUUUAAUGGUGGACAGCCCCUCGUGAAUCCCUUCUCUUCGCAUCCCGUCCUCCGCCGUUAACGGUCACUUCUCCCUGUCUCUCUCUCUCUCUCUCUCUGUCUCGCCGCAUAUAUAGCAGCUCGUACUAUACUCAAUACAAUACUCUCCCUCCCUCCCUCCCUCGUGUGCCGCCUUCAAUCUCCAUUUCCUACCUUCUUCUCUGUCUCUCCGCGCCUGCCUGCGCGUUGAAAAGGAACCGAGACCGAUCCGUACGAUCCCCGGCCUUUGUUUAAUCCCUGCAUUCGGCGGCAAUUCCGGGACGAAUCGAAAGAUGUUGACUUGCAUAGCCUGUUCGAAGCAGCCGCAGCUCAACGGCCGCGGAUCUCAUUCCCUCCCCAGCAGCAGGACGACGACGCCUCCGAUGCCGUCGGCACGCCCAGCACCAAGCAGGCCAUUAAGGCUCUCACCGCCCAGAUUAAGGACAUGGCUUUGAAGGCUUCGGGAGCAUACAAGAAUUGCAAGCCAUGUUCGGGAUCGAACCAGAACCACAAUCAGAACUACGCCGACUCCGAAACCGCCUCUGAUUCGGCAAGGCUCCACGGUCAAUACCGCAGGGCGGGCAGCUCGAACUCGACCCCUAGGUUGUGGGGUAAAGAAAUGGAGUCGAGGCUCAAGGG
Eucalyptus grandis is the source of this 953-nucleotide long non-coding RNA. RefSeq lists it as uncharacterized. The record is from RefSeq and is a predicted model, not a curated record. NCBI's taxonomy places the organism in Eukaryota, Viridiplantae, Streptophyta, Magnoliopsida, Myrtales, Myrtaceae. The transcript has 3 exons.